AUUUAAAGAAAGCGUAAUAGCUCACUGGUCGAGUCGGCCUGCGCGGAAGAUGUAACGGGGCUAAACCAUGCACCGAAGCUGCGGCAGCGACGCUUAUGCGUUGUUGGGUAGGGGAGCGUUCUGUAAGCCGUCGAAGGUGUGCUGUGAGGCAUGCUGGAGGUAUCAGAAGUGCGAAUGCUGACAUAAGUAACGAUAAAGCGGGUGAAAAGCCCGCUCGCCGGAA
RNAcentral lists this ribosomal RNA (223 nucleotides) under Enterobacter hormaechei. RNAcentral describes it as "partial 23S ribosomal RNA". It matches the Rfam family "Bacterial large subunit ribosomal RNA", at positions 1121 to 1342 of the family's 2925-position model. The record is from RNAcentral. Lineage: Bacteria; Pseudomonadati; Pseudomonadota; Gammaproteobacteria; Enterobacterales; Enterobacteriaceae.